Molecule: ribosomal RNA, 220 nt
Filed under: uncultured bacterium
Lineage: Bacteria
Description: partial 16S ribosomal RNA
Rfam family: Bacterial small subunit ribosomal RNA
Source: RNAcentral
CGGGCUUGAACUGCAGAUGACAAACUGCGAAAGUGGUCUUCCGCAAGGACAUCUGCAGAGGUGCUGCAUGGCUGUCGUCAGCUCGUGUCGUGAGAUGUUGGGUUAAGUCCCGCAACGAGCGCAACCCUUGUCCGCUGUUGCCAUCAGGUUAAGCUGGGCACUCUGCGGAGACUGCCGGUGACAACCGGNGGAAGGUGGGAUGACGUCAAGUCAGCAUCGG